AUUGAACGCUGGCGGCAGGCUUAACACAUGCAAGUCGAGCGAGCGGCGGACGGGUGAGUAAUGUCUGGGAAACUGCCUGAUGGAGGGGGAUAACUACUGGAAACGGUAGCUAAUACCGCAUACCAUCAGAUUUGCCCAGAUGGGAUUAGCUAGUAGGUGGGGUAAUGGCUCACCUAGGCGACGAUCCCUAGCUGGUCUGAGAGUAUGACCAGCCACACGGGAACAGGGACACGGUCUAGACUCAUACGGGGGGCAGCAGUGGGGAAUAUUGCACAAUGGGCGCAAGCCUGAUGCAGCCCUGCGGCGUGUGUGAAGAAGGCCUUCGGGUUGUAAAGCACUUUCAGCGAGGAGGCGUUACUCGCAGAAGAAGCACCGGCUAACUACGUGCCAGCCGCCGCGGUAAUAC
This 406-nucleotide ribosomal RNA is filed under the name uncultured bacterium. RNAcentral describes it as "partial 16S ribosomal RNA". It matches the Rfam family "Bacterial small subunit ribosomal RNA", at positions 30 to 526 of the family's 1533-position model. The record is from RNAcentral.